RNAcentral lists this long non-coding RNA (329 nucleotides) under Mytilus galloprovincialis (Mediterranean mussel). Lineage: Eukaryota; Metazoa; Mollusca; Bivalvia; Mytilida; Mytilidae. The record is from RNAcentral.
GAAAUUCUUGUUUUCAAAAUCUUAUAUUGGUCGGUGUGCUAUUAUUGAGUUAAUGAAUAGAAGCUCGCAGAUUUCUUGUUAAUUAUGGUGAUUGCAGAUUGGCAGGGGUGGAUUUAUGCGGGUUUAGCUUGAAACUUAAAUUUCUCGCUAAUUUUACCACAAAAUAUUUAUUUCUCGCCACGCUUGGCAAGAUAUCUACAUUUCACCCUCUCUAGAAGAAUAUUUAAAAAAUUUCGAUAAUAAUACCUCCAAAAAAAUUUCGCCUCGCUCCGCUCGGCGGAAAUUUAAGUUUGCGCCCCCCAUAACCGAAAAUCCUGGAUCCGCCCCUG